AGCCGGUAAUACCCGAAGUCAGUAGUCCAACCACGUGAGGACGCUGCCGAAGGUAGGAUUGGCGACUGGGGUGAAGUCGUAACAAGGUACC
This 91-nucleotide ribosomal RNA is filed under the name uncultured bacterium. RNAcentral describes it as "partial 16S ribosomal RNA". It matches the Rfam family "Bacterial small subunit ribosomal RNA", at positions 1409 to 1500 of the family's 1533-position model. The record is from RNAcentral.